RNAcentral lists this transfer RNA (73 nucleotides) under Ovis aries (sheep). It matches the Rfam family "tRNA". From Rfam's summary of the family: Transfer RNA (tRNA) molecules are approximately 80 nucleotides in length. Their secondary structure includes four short double-helical elements and three loops (D, anti-codon, and T loops). Lineage: Eukaryota; Metazoa; Chordata; Mammalia; Artiodactyla; Bovidae. The record is from Rfam by way of RNAcentral.
UCCCUGGUGGCUCAGAUGGUAAAGCAUCCGCCUGCCAAUGCAGGAGACCCAGGUUCGAUCCCUGGGUGGGGAA